CGAGCCAAACUGGCUCACGAGCCCAAACCUAGACCAAGACGCCAAGUCACCUUCGUGGGCCUCCCCCCAUAGGCCUGCACAAGCACAAUGCACAGCACAACGCCUGGGUGACACCGUGAGUCCAUGACAGCCGCCGCCCGCCGGUCUGCCCGUCCCUGGCUGUUGGCUCCCUCAGUCCCUCCCCCCGCCAUUUUCGGUUCUGGCCUGUGGCCUUCCCCUUUGCCUCCGGUCGAGUGGACGUGCUCCCUUCUCAUUCACCUCCGAGUGGCCGUGCUCCGCACCGCUGCACCUGCACAGCCGCGCCGUGCUCCCUUCCCCUUCGGGUCGCCGAGGCACCGGGGUUGCCGGACUAUCGGGCACUGGCUUCUUCACCAGCUCAACUCGACAUUGCCCUCCCCUCAGCCGCAGCAAGACAAGCACCAUACGCGUCCCGCCGGGCGCCAGCAGCCGAUCUUCAGUGCGCGACAGCAAAUCUUCAGUGCAUGAUUGCUAAGUGAUGGAUUCAUUAUCAGCUCGUUCAGCUGUGCAAGGGAAAGGGAGGAGUGAAAGAGAUGAGACUGAUUCAGAGAGCAACUCUUUUGACCAUAAUGAUGACAUGUCUGAGGAUGAGAUGACAGUGCUAGGUGGGAAAGAUGCUGAUGUUGUUACAGUUAAUGAAUCUGAUGGCGAUAGAGCCAAGAAAAGUCGUCGAGGGGUGAAGAUGCCAGUUAAGGUUGAGGGGGGCAGCAAGAGCAAAUCCAAGGUUUGGGAGGUCUGUGAUAAGAUUAAUGUGCCCAAUAAGUCAGAUAAGGAGAAUCCGCUAUUGAAGGCAAAGUGCAAAUAUUGUAACAAGCUUUAUAGUUGAAGGCAAAGUGCUAUUGAAGAACUGUCCCAAGUAUCGAAAGCAUAUUGAAGAAAAGCUAGAUCAAACACUGUUGAACUUUGCUCCUUCAAAGGCAGGUGAAUCUGGUUGUGGUCUCCCUACUAUCUCAUCUCCUAGAGAAUAUAAUCAUGAACAAGUCUAAAAAUUAAAUGCUAAGAUGAUUAUAGUUCAUGAGUACCCGUUUAGAAUGGUUGAGCACACAUGGUUUAAUAUUGUCAUGAAGUAUAUGAAUCUGUUGUAUGAAUUUAUUGGUAGAAAGACCAUAAGAGCUGAAUGUAUAAAGGUUUAUGAGUCUGAAAAAGAAUCAUUGGCUAAGGCCCUUAAAGGUGUGGAUUUCAUUUCCUUGACCACUGAUUUAUGGACAUCUAAUCAAAUGUUGUCCUAUAUGUGUUUGGUUGCACACUACAUUGAUAAAGAUUGGAAAAUGCAAUAUUGUGUGCUGAAUUUUUUUGAGUUAGACCCUCCAAAGGACAUGUGAUAGGACAAGCUGCAUAUGUUGUGUUACUGCAUGGAAAAUAGAAGAUAAGAUUAUUUCUUUCACUCUAGAUAAUGUUGCAAACAAUGACAGUGCUAUACGUGGUCUGAGGGCUAGAUUUGCAGCUAGAAAGGGGAAUGCUUUCAUUUCAAAAUACUUCCAUGUCUGUUGUUGUGCACACAUCAUCAAUUUGGUUGUCAAUGAUGGAGCCGCUGCAUUAGCUUCUUUGAUAGAAAACCUAAGGUUAACAGUCAAGUACCUUAAGAAGUCUCCAUCUUGUAUGCAUAAGUUUGUUGACAUUUGUAGAUCUCCUGCAAUUCAAAUUGGAGAAGGGAUGAGGCUUGAUGUCUCAACGAGGUGGGGUUCAACAUAUAAGAUGUUGCGCACUACUAUAGCUUACAAAGAAGCUAUAAAGACAUAGGCUGAUUCAGAUUUGAAUUAUAAGUGGAAACCUACAUUAGAAGAAUGAGAUUUGUUUGCUGCAAUUGAGCCAAUUCUAGCCUCUUUAGGAACCACUACACUGUCAACUUCUUCCUACCCCACCGCAAACCUAUUCUAUCCCCAUAAUGUGGAUGUCAAAAUUGCAUUGAGAGCAGCAAUGGUUUCUACUAAUUUUAAUAUGAAAAAAUGGGUAUUGCGAUGAUGGAGAAAUUCAACAAGUAUUGGGAAUAAAGGAACAAUGUUAUGGUGAUUGCUACUAUCCUAGAUCCAAGGUAUAAGAUGAGAUAUAUUGAGUGGUGUUUUGGUAAGAUUUUUUAUGUAGACCAAGUUGGAUUUGAGAUAGAAGAAUUUAGAGACGAAUUGGAAAAGUUGUAUGAAGACUAUGAGAUGCAACAUAGAGAGAGAAAAGCUGCUCAAAGCAAGCUUAGUGCAUCAUCAUCAUUGGCAAUGAAUAGAUCUUGUAGUUUGCCUACUGCAUCAUGUGAGUUUCAGUCAUACUUAUCAUCUACUGAAGUGAAUCCAUCAAAAAGUGAGUUGCUCAUCUAUUGGAUGAAACAAUGUGAGUUUGGCUGAUAAGGAUUUUGAUUUGCUAAGCUGGUGCAAGGUUAACUCACAUAGAUUUCCAGUGGUGUCGAGGAUGGCAAAGUUCUUAAUUGUGCCCGCUACCUCUGUGUCUUCAGAGUCUACUUUUCGCACUGGGGGUCGAACUCUAGAUGACUAUCGUAGCUCUCUAAGCCCUUCUAUGGUAGAGGCAUUGAUAUGCUCCUCUAGUUGGAUUCGAAGUGCACAUGAUGGGAGUCAUAUGUAUUGUAGUAUGAUAUUCUUCUACUUUUUUAUUCUAGUGUGUUUUCUAUUUUUUUAUCAAUGUAAUGCUCUAUUUAUUUUUUGGAGCAAGAUGAAGAAGACGAUAUUGAAAACAAUGCAUUUCCAAAAAGUUUGGUGGAGAGCAACUAGAUCUUGAUAUCUUUUGGACAAUUGGAUGGUUGAUCACAUAGCAAGUCGCAUGGAUGAUGGACUCAUCAGUCAUCACUCAUGGACAUGUUCACAUGGAUGAGCACACAACAAGUGGCAUUUGAUUCUGGAAUUUUGGAUGGUGGUAGUUGCAUGCCACUUGUAUUUGUGUAACUGUGGGCUGUCACCUGUUAGGUUGUGCGGCUGUGGCAUGGUUCUUUACUUCUUUUGUUUAUCUCUUCACUGUUUAGACUUGAGAAUUUGUAGUUGCAUUCGUAUUGCAGACUUUAUUGUCUUACUGUUGGAGAUGGUAGUGAUGUUACUGAAUACUGAGGUAGUGUAACUGUUGGAGUUGGCAGACUUUAUUGUCUUGCACUUUUGCUAUUGGAGUUGGUAUUGCAGACUUAAGUGUUAUUUCAGUUUGUGAGUAAUGUGACUAUGUCCCCUUAUGUUUAUUCAA
Zea mays is the source of this 3189-nucleotide long non-coding RNA. RefSeq lists it as uncharacterized. The record is from RefSeq and is a predicted model, not a curated record. Lineage: Eukaryota; Viridiplantae; Streptophyta; Magnoliopsida; Poales; Poaceae. The transcript has 3 exons.